GCGCCAGACGGUUAGUUGCCCUCGGUCAGUGGUAGAGAGAGGUACUGUACCCCGACGCACGGCUCGACUUGAGUUGAAAGUCUCCGAAAAUCCUUCGCUUUGACUCUUCGAAUGUUGAAUACUACGACGACUGAUAUUCAAUAAUUCGACAUGGAUUGACGAACUUUUAAAGAAAGGGUGCUUCUUUGAAGUCUUCUUCCUUGGUGGUGAUUUUUGCCAGUUUUAAAAUCAUGUUAUCAAGGAUUUGUACGUGUUGGUGAUAUGCAAGUGAAGUGAAGGGAAAACUCGAUAGCGUUGAGAGGACCUGCUGGCUGGAUUGAUUACAAAAGAGUGAAUCCAGUGUUUGAAGAUGGCGAGUUCAACUUUAAGUCUAAUAUAUAGUAAUCGGCCCCAUCGGUUAACUCAGGUCGUAGCCACGAUG
This is a non-coding RNA of Penaeus vannamei (Pacific white shrimp), 421 nucleotides long. The record is from RefSeq and is a predicted model, not a curated record. Lineage: Eukaryota; Metazoa; Arthropoda; Malacostraca; Decapoda; Penaeidae.